UAGGGGGCGAGCGUUAUCCGGAUUUACUGGGUGUAAAGGGAGCGCAGGCGGCGUGGCAAGUCAGAUGUGAAACCCCGGGGCCCAACCCCGGGACUGCAUUUGAAACUGCCAUGCUGGAGUGCCGGAGAGGUAAGUGGAAUUCCUAGUGUAGCGGUGAAAUGCGUAGAUAUUAGGAGGAACACCAGUGGCGAAGGCGGCUUACUGGACGGUAACUGACGCUGAGGCUCGAAAGCGUGGGGAGCAAA
This 245-nucleotide ribosomal RNA is filed under the name uncultured bacterium. RNAcentral describes it as "partial 16S ribosomal RNA". It matches the Rfam family "Bacterial small subunit ribosomal RNA", at positions 528 to 772 of the family's 1533-position model. The record is from RNAcentral.